GACAGAGGGUGGCAAACGUUGCUCGGAAUCACUGGGCGUAAAAGGGCGUGUAGGCGGGGACAGUAAGUACGGGCGUGAAAUCCCUGGGCUCAACCCAGGAACUGCACUCGAAACUACUAUUCUUGAGUGUCGGAGAGGAAAGCGGAAUUCCUGGAUGUAGAGGUGAAAUUCGUAGAUAUCAGGAGGAACACCAGUGGCGAAGGCGGCUUUCUGGAC
This 216-nucleotide ribosomal RNA is filed under the name uncultured bacterium. Its description in RNAcentral is "partial 16S ribosomal RNA". It matches the Rfam family "Bacterial small subunit ribosomal RNA", at positions 524 to 734 of the family's 1533-position model. The record is from RNAcentral.